Molecule: ribosomal RNA, 468 nt
Filed under: uncultured bacterium
Lineage: Bacteria
Description: partial 16S ribosomal RNA
Rfam family: Bacterial small subunit ribosomal RNA
Source: RNAcentral
GACGAACGCUGGCGGCGUGCUUAACACAUGCAAGUCGAACGGAAAGGCCCUGCUUUUGUGGGGUGCUCGAGUGGCGAACGGGUGAGUAACACGUGAGUAACCUGCCCUUGACUUUGGGAUAACUUCAGGAAACUGGGGCUAAUACCGGAUAGGAGCUCCUGCUGCAUGGUGGGGGUUGGAAAGUGUCGGCGUUUGGGGAUGGACUCGCGGCUUAUGAGCUUGUUGGUGGGGUAGUGGCUUACCAAGGCUUUGACGGGUAGCCGGCCUGAGAGGGUGACCGGCCACAUUGGGACUGAGAUACGGCCCAGAAGCCUACGGGAGGCAGCAGUGGGGAAUAUGGCACAAUGGGCGGAAGCCUGAUGCAGCAACGCCGCGUGCGGGAUGACGGCCUUCGGGUGGUAAACAGCUUUCGCAUGUGACGAAGCGUGAGUGACGGUAAUGGGUAAAGAAGCACCGGCUAACUACGUG